This 91-nucleotide transfer RNA is filed under the name bacterium. RNAcentral's name for it is "tRNA-Ser". It matches the Rfam family "tRNA". From Rfam's summary of the family: Transfer RNA (tRNA) molecules are approximately 80 nucleotides in length. The record is from RNAcentral.
GGAGAGGUGGCUGAGCGGUUGAAAGCGGCAGGUUGCUAACCUGUUAUACGGUUUUACUACCGUAUCGGGGGUUCGAAUCCCCCCCUCUCCG